CAAUGGAGGCAGCAUUAACACACCUAAGCUUCGGCCUUUCAGCACCAUUUCAACCACCCACUAAGAAGCCACCGCCUAGACUCAAUGCCGUUAGCGGCGGAGCAACUAAUUUCUCCGCCAGCAAAUGGGCGGAUCGUCUCCUCGCCGACUUCCAAUUCCUUCCUUCCAAUAAUGACUCGCCCGAUUUCCAAAAUUCAACCUCCAGUACAACUACUAUUCCUCCUCAACUCUCUCCUCCAGACCGUCACAUUUCAAUGCCGAUAGACUUUUAUAAAGUGCUUGGUGCUGAACCUCACUUCCUCGCUGACGGUAUCAGAAGAUCCUACGAUGCUAGAAUUACAAAGCCGCCGCAGUACGGCUACAGUCAGGAGGCAUUGAUUGGGCGACGACAGAUUCUUCAAGCUGCUUGUGAAACCCUCGCUGACUCUACCUCUCGUAGAGAGUACAAUCAAGGCCUCGCUCAGCAUGAGUUCGAUACUAUUCUAACUCCUGUCCCCUGGGAUAAAAUUCCUGGAGCAUUGUGUGUUUUGCAAGAAGCUGGUGAGACUGAAGUAGUUCUUCAGGUUGGAGAAAGCUUGCUGAAAGAGAGGUUGCCGAAGUCAUUCAAGCAAGAUGUGGUCUUGGCUAUGGCACUCGCAUAUGUUGAUCAUUCGCGAGAUGCCAUGGCACUUUCACCUCCUGAUUUUGUUAAAGGUUGUGAACUGCUUGAAAGAGCGCUUAAACUGUUGCAGGAAGAAGGUGCAAGCAAUCUUGCCCUUGAUCUUCAAUCCCAGAUAGAUGAGACAUUAGAAGAGAUAAAUCCACGCUAUGUACUUGAAAUUCUAGCUUUUCCUCUUGGUGAUGAAUACCGAAUGAAAAGAGCUGAGGGUCUUCAAGGUGUGCGCAAUAUUUUGUGGGCUGUUGGAGGAGGAGGAGCAGCUGCAAUUUCUGGGGGGUUCACACGAGAAGAUUUCAUGAAUGAGGCCUUCCUACGGAUGACAGCUGCUGAGCAGGUGGACCUCUUCGUCGCAACGCCAAGUAACAUUCCUGCUGAAAGCUUUGAAGUUUAUGGAGUGGCGCUUGCACUUGUUGCUCAAGCUUUUGUUGGAAAAAAACCUCAUCUCAUCCAAGAUGCUGAUAACCUUUUUCAGCAGCUUCAGCAGACCAAAGUAACAGCUUACGGCAGUUCUGUGUCUGUCUACACUGUUAGAGAAAACCGUGAAAUAGACUUUGCUUUGGAGAGGGGCCUUUGUUCACUGCUCGUUGGAGAAGUCGAUGAAUGUCGCUCAUGGUUGGGCCUAGACAGUGAGAACUCGCCCUAUAGAGAUCCAUCUAUUGUGACUUUUAUUGCAGAACACUCGAAGGAUGACAAUGAAAAUGAUCUGCUCCCUGGACUAUGUAAGCUUUUGGAGACCUGGUUGAUGGAAGUGGUCUUUCCCAGAUUUAGAGAGACAGAAGAUAUCACUUUCAGGCUCGGAGACUAUUAUGAUGACCCUACUGUUUUAAGAUAUUUGGAAAGGCUGGAAGGUGGUGGUGCUUCACCUUUAGCUGCUGCUGCAGCUAUUGCAAGGAUUGGAGCUGAAGCUACAGCUGUGCUUGAUAGUGUUAAGGCUAGUGCAAUUCAGGCAUUACAGAAAGUUUUUCCUGCUGGUGAUGGGGAAGGCAGUGUAAGACGAUAUGGCGAUAAUGAGAUGAACGGAUUUGAUAUGGCUAAGCCAUUUGAGGAUCCUGGAGAGCUUCGCGAUCAAAAUAAUUUCAUCAUGUCAGUUGAGGAUCCUGGCAGAAUCAGUUCUGAAUAUCAGGAGCAAGAUUCGAUAACCGACAAAAUAAAAGAUGCAAGUGUGAAAAUUAUGUGUGCUGGAGUGGCAGUCGGAUUCUUGACUUUGGUUGGGUUGAAGCUUUCUUCCGUUAGACAUGGGUCGUCAGUUCAACAUAAUGCUACUAAUUCAGCCAUUGCCUCGGAUGUCAUCAAUGUGGAUGCCUCACUAGUUGAAAACCCUCUUGACGUUCCUAGAAUGGAUGCAAGGCUUGCAGAAAGUAUAGUUAGGAAGUGGCAGAAUAUCAAAUCCCAGUCGCUUGGAACUGAUCACUGUCUCAACAAAUUGUCAGAGGUUUUGGAUGGUCAGAUGCUGAAGAUUUGGACAGACCGUGCAACAGAAAUUGCCCAGCAUGGUUGGUUUUGGGAGUACAAGCUUUUAAACCUUGCCAUUGAUAGUGUGACUGUUUCAGCUGAUGGCCGACGUGCUACUGUGGAAGCUACUCUUGAGGAAUCAGCAAGUUUAACUGAUGUAGCCCAUCCGGAGCACAAUGACUCAUACAGUACUACAUAUACAACUAGGUACGACAUGUCCUGGGCAAACUCCGGUUGGAAAAUUGUGGAAGGAGCCGUUCUUAAAUCACGAUAAUGGAUGUAUAUGUUGACAAAAGUUUCGUGUAAAGUGCACCUUUUUUGUUUAUUUUGCUUUACUGUCAAAGUUGGGUAAAUGGUUAGUUUUGGCUAAUGUAAUGUACCUUGUUUGGGUCAUAGAGUUUCCAAGUGUAGUCACAAAAAUGACCAAUAUUUGUCUUGAGUUGAAUGCUAUACUGAAACCCAAGGGGUUGCCAGAUUAGUGGUGAA
Molecule: RNA transcript, 2596 nt
Organism: Lycium ferocissimum
Lineage: Eukaryota; Viridiplantae; Streptophyta; Magnoliopsida; Solanales; Solanaceae
Gene name: protein ACCUMULATION AND REPLICATION OF CHLOROPLASTS 6, chloroplastic
Exons: 8
Source: RefSeq, a predicted model, not a curated record